GAUGAACGCUGGCGGCGUGCCUAAUACAUGCAAGUCGAGCGAACAGACGAGGAGCUUGCUCCUCUGACGUUAGCGGCGGACGGGUGAGUAACACGUGGAUAACCUACCUAUAAGACUGGGAUAACUUCGGGAAACCGGAGCUAAUACCGGAUAAUAUAUUGAACCGCAUGGUUCAAUAGUGAAAGACGGUUUUGCUGUCACUUAUAGAUGGAUCCGCGCCGCAUUAGCUAGUUGGUAAGGUAACGGCUUACCAAGGCAACGAUGCGUAGCCGACCUGAGAGGGUGAUCAGCCACACUGGAACUGAGACACGGUCCAGACUCCUACGGGAGGCAGCAGUAGGGAAUCUUCCGCAAUGGGCGAAAGCCUGACGGAGCAACGCCGCGUGAGUGAUGAAGGUCUUCGGAUCGUAAAACUCUGUUAUUAGGGAAGAACAAAUGUGUAAGUAACUAUGCACGUCUUGACGGUACCUAAUCAGAAAGCCACGGCUAACUACGUC
Molecule: ribosomal RNA, 497 nt
Filed under: uncultured bacterium
Lineage: Bacteria
Description: partial 16S ribosomal RNA
Rfam family: Bacterial small subunit ribosomal RNA
Source: RNAcentral